GAUGAACGCUGGCGGCGUGCCUAAUACAUGCAAGUCGAGCGAACGGACGAGAAGCUUGCUUCUCUGAUGUUAGCGGCGGACGGGUGAGUAACACGUGGAUAACCUACCUAUAAGACUGGGAUAACUUCGGGAAACCGGAGCUAAUACCGGAUGAUAUUUUGAACCGCAUGGUUCAAAAGUGAAAGACGGUCUUGCUGUCACUUAUAGAUGGAUCCGCGCUGCAUUAGCUAGUUGGUAAGGUAACGGCUUACCAAGGCAACGCUGCAUAGCCGACCUGAGAGGGACAUCGGCCACACUGGAACUGAGACGCGGUCCAGACUCCUACGGGAGGCAGCAGUAGAGAAUCGUCCGCAAUGGGCGAAAGUCUGACGGAGCAACGCCGCGUGAGUGAUGAAGGUCUUCGGAUCGUAAAACUCUGUUAUUAGGGAAGAACAUAUGUGUAAGUAACUGUGCACAUCGUGACGGUACCAAAUCAGAAAGCCAGGUCUAUCUACG
Molecule: ribosomal RNA, 495 nt
Filed under: uncultured bacterium
Lineage: Bacteria
Description: partial 16S ribosomal RNA
Rfam family: Bacterial small subunit ribosomal RNA
Source: RNAcentral